Megalopta genalis is the source of this 1813-nucleotide non-coding RNA. NCBI's taxonomy places the organism in Eukaryota, Metazoa, Arthropoda, Insecta, Hymenoptera, Halictidae. The record is from RefSeq and is a predicted model, not a curated record.
ACAGGAUGUCUCGGAUUGAGCCGGGACAAGAUAUGGACUUCGAAGAGUGAACUAUCGACACGUGUUAUCUCGCGAAUCCUUAUCUAUCCGGGAGUGUUGCAAACGCGUUUAGCGGAAGAGAAACUGUUGGAAAAACUUGGAAAGAAAACUGGAGAUUUUCCUACCGGUGCUUCUCAAUCCUCUAUCCCGUGGUCGACCGUCGACGACGGUCUCCGAAACGAUGUAGUCUGACAAAGCUAAGUACGGCCGUCCGACGCAAACCACGAAAUUUUUCUUCGGGUGACCAACGUAAAUCAAUGACCACGAACCGCCUAACACCGACGAUAACUCACAGCCCGUGCUAACAACGUUAACUCGCCGAGACUCGUCUCUCUCGCCGAUGAAAGCCAGAUCUCGCGGGCUACUGUCGGCCGCGUGUCUUACUGACUGAGCACCUACCUUGAUAGUGAACAUAAUCUCUCUGUCACACGGACACCGGCGAUGAAGCGGUUAGGAUGCAGAUGGGUUGGUACUUGUGCUUCUUCGUCAGAUGCUUCGGCUCUUUAUAUACACGACCGUAGCAACGUGGUACAGUGAAAGGGGUCAUCCCUGCCCUCUUCACAAUGCACUUCAUCUGACCAGUGCAUCUUCGGAAAAAUGCUCUCGGAUGAGUCGUGAAUAGAUCAUCAUCGGGCGGCAGAUGGACGUCAAGGUGGACCCGCUUUUUCGGCCAAUCGGUCGUUCGUCACCCGGAAAUCACUUGGACCGACACGAAAUCUAGCCAUUCUAUGGAGAGGGACCAAAGCCUAGCUUCGUGUGUAGGUGGCUUCCGAUUAUGGUUCGCGCGACGAGUUUCCUAAAAUAGCUUUCGGCUGGGGAUACAAUUAAUAUGCUUGAGAAAUUUAAAGAAUAAGAACAGUCAUGAUUCAAUUUGAAACUAAUAGCUCAAAGAUAAAUAUUGAAAAUCAUACAGUGGAAGUUAUUAUACCUAGCGACAUCUACACAGACUUAAUAGACAUCGCAGCUGAAGUAAAUGAACGUGAUCCAACGCGAUCACGUAUAAAAUUUACGAUUAAAUUCACAGCGUAAACGUAAAAGAUAAUUGUAAUAUACAGAAUUUGAAAUUAUAAAAUAUACAUAUAAUUAUGUUAGAACAAACAAGGCAAGCUUUAGCUACUGGUAGAGUAAUUUUAGCCAGUAGUUCUCCCAGAAGACAUGAAAUAAUAAAACAAUUGGGUUUAAAAAAUACAGAGGUAGUACCUUCGUUAUAUGAUGAGAAUCUAGAUAAAUCUACAUACACAAAUUAUGGAAAGUAUGUUGAAGAUAUAGCAAAGUAUAAAGUAUUAGAAGUAUAUAACAGAUUAAAAGAAGAUUCUAAAUCACCUGUUUUGAUAAUUGGUGCAGACACUAUGGUUGCGAUGGAUAAUAUUAUUUAUGGGAAACCAAAAAAUAAGUCACAAGCAUUUGAAAUGUUGUCAAGUCUAGCGAAUAGAGAACAUGUAGUUUAUUCAGGAGUAUGUUUAAGAACACAGAAGAAAGAAAUAAACUUUUAUGAAUCUACAAAAGUAAAGUUUGGUGAUAUAUCAGCAGAACAAAUAGAAGCAUAUAUAAACUCAGGAGAACCUUUCGAUAAAGCUGGAGGAUAUGGUGCGCAAGGUCUUGGUGGAUGUCUUAUUGAAAAAAUUGAUGGUGAUUUUUAUACUGUAAUGGGCAUGCCAUUAUAUUCAAUCACAAAACGAUUAAAUGAACUUUUCUCAAAUAGCUAAUACCUAACAUUGUUAAUAAAUGCUUACAAUAAAUAUUAUAGGAUAAUAAAUUCUAUAAUGACAUUUAG